AUCAUUCAAACAAAUUUAAAUUUGAUUACAUAUGACAAUUGUCAAACAAGAGAAGCCAAAUCAUUUAAUCAAAUAGGAGUUUGCAGAGUAAAAACAGAAUUGUCAAUAAAAAAUUUUAUUCAAAAAAGUUUUCAAUCUAAAAAAAAUUAAAUCCAUAUGAAAUCAAUGUUUUCUACGAGUUCUUCAACUUAUUUUAUGAAUUCACUCCAAAUUAAA
RNAcentral lists this long non-coding RNA (216 nucleotides) under Ananas comosus (pineapple). Its description in RNAcentral is "long non-coding RNA (ACOM_LNC029082)". The record is from RNAcentral. Lineage: Eukaryota; Viridiplantae; Streptophyta; Magnoliopsida; Poales; Bromeliaceae.